GACGAACGCUGGCGGCGUGCUUAACACAUGCAAGUCGAACGGAAAGGCCCUUCGGGGUACUCGAGUGGCGAACGGGUGAGUAACACGUGGGUGAUCUGCCCUGCACUUUGGGAUAAGCCUGGGAAACUGGGUCUAAUACCGAAUAGGACCACGCGCUUCAUGGUGUGUGGUGGAAAGCUUUUGCGGUGUGGGAUGGGCCCGCGGCCUAUCAGCUUGUUGGUGGGGUAAUGGCCUACCAAGGCGACGACGGGUAGCCGGCCUGAGAGGGUGACCGGCCACACUGGGACUGAGAUACGGCCCAGACUCCUACGGGAGGCAGCAGUGGGGAAUAUUGCACAAUGGGCGCAAGCCUGAUGCAGCGACGCCGCGUGAGGGAUGACGGCCUUCGUGUUGUAAACCUCUUUCAAUAGGGACGAAGCGCAAGUGACGGUACCUAUAGAAGAAGCACCGGCCAACUACGUG
Molecule: ribosomal RNA, 462 nt
Filed under: uncultured bacterium
Lineage: Bacteria
Description: partial 16S ribosomal RNA
Rfam family: Bacterial small subunit ribosomal RNA
Source: RNAcentral